AGAAACAGGCCCCCUCAACCACCCCCAUACUUCCCACCAGCUGGACCAUUUUACCAGGCACCACCCCCUGCGUAUGCACCCCCAGGGGAACCACUUUAUGGAUUUGUACCUUAUCAGACAUUCCCAACAGCCCCACCAGCUGAUGGUGUCUAUAUGACAGAGGCACCACCCCCAUAUCCAGGUAUUGACCCCAACCUGAGACCACCACCAUAUCCUCCCCAGCAAAACAACUCUGCAGAUGCCAAGGCAGCUGAAGCAGCAGCCAGUGCUUACAAUGGUGCCUACUAUGAUCCAGGCAACCCACAUAAUGUUUACAUGCCUCCCCCACAGGGGGCACCACCAGCAUACUCGGAGGCGGCAAAGAAAUACGACUAAUUAAUGAUUUGGAUGGAUGAAGACAAAGCAGGCCUUAAAAUAACUAAACUAAAUGUUCAGUGAAAAAAAA
Long non-coding RNA from Lingula anatina, 445 nucleotides. The record is from RefSeq and is a predicted model, not a curated record. Lineage: Eukaryota; Metazoa; Brachiopoda; Lingulata; Lingulida; Lingulidae.